AAUAGAUACCCUGGUAGUCCACGCCGUAAACGAUGUCGACUUGGAGGUUGUUCCCUUGAGGAGUGGCUUCCGGAGCUAACGCGUUAAGUCGACCGCCUGGGGAGUACGGCCGCAAGGUUAAAACUCAAAUGAAUUGACGGGGGCCCGCACAAGCGGUGGAGCAUGUGGUUUAAUUCGAUGCAACGCGAAGAACCUUACCUACUCUUGACAUCCAGAGAACUUUCCAGAGAUGGAUUGGUGCCUUCGGGAACUCUGAGACAGGUGCUGCAUGGCUGUCGUCAGCUCGUGUUGUGAAAUGUUGGGUUAAGUCCCGCAACGAGCGCAACCCUUAUCCUUUGUUGCCAGCGGUUUAGGCCGGGAACUCAAAGGAGACUGCCAGUGAUAAACUGGAGGAAGGUGGGGAUGACGUCAAGUCAUCAUGGCCCUUACGAGUAGGGCUACACACGUGCUACAAUGGCGCAUACAAAGAGAAGCGACCUCGCGAGAGCAAGCGGACCUCAUAAAGUGCGUCGUAGUCCGGAUUGGAGU
This 528-nucleotide ribosomal RNA is filed under the name uncultured bacterium. RNAcentral describes it as "bacterial SSU rRNA". It matches the Rfam family "Bacterial small subunit ribosomal RNA", at positions 777 to 1304 of the family's 1533-position model. The record is from RNAcentral.